RNAcentral lists this ribosomal RNA (253 nucleotides) under uncultured bacterium. RNAcentral describes it as "partial 16S ribosomal RNA". It matches the Rfam family "Bacterial small subunit ribosomal RNA", at positions 524 to 776 of the family's 1533-position model. The record is from RNAcentral.
GACAGAGGGUGCAAACGUUGUUCGGAAUCACUGGGCGUAAAGCGCAUGUAGGCGGCUUGGUAGGUCGGAUGUGAAAUCCCACGGCUCAACCGUGGAAGUGCAUUCGAAACCGCCUGGCUCGAGUCUCGGAGAGGAAGGUGGAAUGCUUGGUGUAGAGGUGAAAUUCGUAGAUAUCAAGCGGAACACCGGUGGCGAAGGCGGCCUUCUGGACGAUGACUGACGCUGAGAUGCGAAAGCGUGGGGAGCAAACAGG